UGAAGGUGGAUCUCUUGAUGUAGCCUUCAUGCUUUCUCACUUCAUGUAGCCUUCAAGCUUUGCUUUACUAUCAUUUGAUGAGUUGAUUUGAUGGAACCAAAGGUGGAUCUACCACUUUGAAGACAUGAAUUUCUACAAAAGAUCCAGUGUUUGAGGAGAUCUAAUGUUUUGGAGGAUAUUCAGAGUCAACUCAAUUAGAACCCUCUUAAGCAGAGGAGGAUGUUUUCGCCGUUGUCUACGCCCCUCUGAGAUAAAAGAGAGGAUGCUAAUAGGAAAAGAAGUUUGGUUAUAACUCUUGCAAAUGGAGGGGUCUGUGUGUUUAUCAAUGUGAUUAAUUUAUAUUUGGUUCUCCAAUAAUGCUGGGUUUUUUUUUACAGGUUCAUUGUGAGCUUAUUGUUUCUAGUAAACUUAUACGUAUAUAGUUUCAAGCUUAUACUUGGAGUUGGAGAUUUAUCUCUUAUAAAUCUCUUAUAACUUCCCAAGGCAAAAGGGCAUUGGUUUUUAUGGAGCAAGGAGCUGCAUCAAGAGAGAAAUCAACUAUUAUGAAAAUAUAAAGCACUUUUUGAGGUAGGAAAUUUGCAGUAGCUUUGAUUUUGUUCCUGUCUAGAAUGUUAGAUUCAAAUAUAUUUGAGAUAAUUUCAAAUUUGUAUUGAUUUUGAUUUUGUAUUAUAUUUUAUUAAAUUUGUGAUUUAUGUA
Long non-coding RNA from Vicia villosa (hairy vetch), 696 nucleotides. RefSeq lists it as uncharacterized. The transcript has 6 exons. The record is from RefSeq and is a predicted model, not a curated record. NCBI's taxonomy places the organism in Eukaryota, Viridiplantae, Streptophyta, Magnoliopsida, Fabales, Fabaceae.